CAGAAAAGUUAAAAUCAAUCAAGUUAGGGACUCCAGCAAUGACAUUUCUGCAUCCAUGGGGCACUCCUAUAGUCAAGGAGAAAACAAUGAAAUUUCAAUAGGCACUACCUAUAGUAAGCGUGAAAGCAAUGCCAUAUCUUUGGGUCCAACUUAUAAUAAUGGGGAGGCGAAUACCAUUUCAGUUGGUGCCGACUUCAGUAAGGCAGAUGGCAAUUUCAUUUCAAUGGGCCACACCUUCAACAAGGGGGGUGAAAAUUUCAUAUCGAUGAGACACAAUUAUAACAAGGGAGAUGACAAUAUCUUAUCAAUGGGUCAGACCUUUGACAAGGGGGACGCCAACUUUAUCACAAUGGGUCAAUCAUAUGAAAAGGAAGAUAGCAAUGUCAUUUCAAUGGCUCAUUCCUUAUUUCAUUUCAAUGGGACCCACCUAUGAUAAAGCAAAUGAGAAUUUCAUUUCUAUGGGUCCCACUCCCUCCUAUAGCAAGGGAGAUGAUAGUAUCAUAUCCAUUGGUUCCAGCUAUGACAAGGCAGAUUCCAUCAUAACUUCCAUCUGUUCUGCCCAGGACAAAGAAGAUUCCAAUAUUCUAUCCAUGGAUCACAACUUUAACAAAGGUGAGAACAAUACCAUAUCUUUUGGAGGCUUUCAUGA
RNAcentral lists this unclassified non-coding RNA (649 nucleotides) under Hevea brasiliensis (rubber tree). The record is from RNAcentral. Lineage: Eukaryota; Viridiplantae; Streptophyta; Magnoliopsida; Malpighiales; Euphorbiaceae.